Non-coding RNA from Phthorimaea operculella (potato tuberworm), 72 nucleotides. The record is from the annotation of a GenBank genome assembly. NCBI's taxonomy places the organism in Eukaryota, Metazoa, Arthropoda, Insecta, Lepidoptera, Gelechiidae.
GCACCCGUUGCUCAGUUGGUAUAGCGGUGGAACGGCAAUCCACAGUCCCGGGUUCAAGUCCCGGCGGUCGCU